Molecule: long non-coding RNA, 911 nt
Organism: Trifolium pratense (red clover)
Lineage: Eukaryota; Viridiplantae; Streptophyta; Magnoliopsida; Fabales; Fabaceae
Exons: 6
Source: RefSeq, a predicted model, not a curated record
UUUUAUACGAAAGAACAUAUCACAAACCCUUUUCUUUUUGUUUAUCUUUGCCCCAACAUUGAACCACAACCACGAAUUGCAAAUCCCUCCGCCGCCGAAUCGCAAAUAUGGAACCACAAAUCCCUCCGCUGGAUCCUUAAUCGAAGAACCUCAAACCCCUUCAUUGUUCUCCUUCGUUCAAUCCGUCAAUAUCUCUUCCGUUUUUCUUCAAUUACUCCACCGUUCUCCUUUAAUCCUCCGCCGUUCUCUGCGGUCCAAGUUAGGUAUCAUUCAAUUCUUCUCUCUGUGAAUCAAAGAAGCCCCUUUGUGAGUUGUUCUUAUGGUCUCAAUGGUGGUGAGCAAGCCUUGAGGAUUGAAGAUGGUUAUUCUGCUCAUGAAAACAUCGGUCGCCUUAAUGUGUUAGACUUACAAGUAUUUAUCGAUUCAUUCUAGAUUACAUAUGUAGAUUCGCCGACUUCCAAAACCAGUAAUUGCAUGGGUAUGCUGGUGGAGGUGGGCAUGUAUUACAUAUGGUUUGUGAUUCAACUGUUGCAGCAGGCUGAAGAAUAUGCAUACUAGAGUUAAGAACUUGGAUGGUUCUUUGUAAAAUCCUACUGAUUUUUUCAAGUAUGCCCUUUACUUUCCAAGCAUUGUUCGAGCAUGGAGGUAACCGAAUAAGAAGAGUCAAGCGAUGAUAGGCGUUCUGAGUCUAGCUAACACUAAUUAAGGAUUAUGAAGCAGCAUCACAUAUUUUGUGAACUUAUUUUGACGUAAUGUUAUGUUUAACCACUAGUAAUAUUUAUGUUUUAGUUUUUGAAUCUUUGAACUACAUUAGUUUCUUUCGUUUGAAACUUCAAGUACUUUAAUUAAAUUUUUGAUGUAUGGAUCUUGUCACUAUUGAAUGAAUUAAAUAAAUGAGAUUCAGUUAUUUA